AUCGAGGCUAGAGUCACGCCCCGACACUGCCUGUUGUCCUGGUGUGCUAGAGUGCUCGUAAAGUAAAAUCUUUGUUUAUUCAUUGGCUGUAGUCUGAUGUGGCCCAGUCAAUCACCGACUCAGAGACACUU
Small nucleolar RNA from Neogobius melanostomus (round goby), 131 nucleotides. Lineage: Eukaryota; Metazoa; Chordata; Actinopteri; Gobiiformes; Gobiidae. The record is from Ensembl.